RNAcentral lists this ribosomal RNA (253 nucleotides) under uncultured bacterium. RNAcentral's name for it is "partial 16S ribosomal RNA". It matches the Rfam family "Bacterial small subunit ribosomal RNA", at positions 524 to 776 of the family's 1533-position model. The record is from RNAcentral.
UACGAAGGGGGCUAGCGUUGUUCGGAAUUACUGGGCGUAAAGCGCGCGCAGGCGGCUAUCCAAGUCAGUGGUGAAAGCCCGGAGCUCAACUCCGGAACUGCCAUUGAAACUGUUUAGCUUGAGGACGAGAGAGGUGAGUGGAAUUCCCAGUGUAGAGGUGAAAUGCGCAGAUAUCGGGAAGAACACCCGUGGCGAAGGCGGCUCUCUGGGACGGUACUGACGCUGAGACGCGAAAGCGUGGGGAGCGAACAGG